This is a non-coding RNA of Schistosoma haematobium, 46 nucleotides long. The record is from Rfam. Lineage: Eukaryota; Metazoa; Platyhelminthes; Trematoda; Strigeidida; Schistosomatidae.
GCACUGCUGAGGAGUCCUAUGAUGGGACGAAACGGCCGUCCAGUGC